AUAAGCUAUAAAGGGCGCGCGGUGGAUGCCUUGGGGCAAGGGGCCGAUGAAGGACGUGGUAAGCGACGAUAUUCCUCGGGGAGCUGCAAUCGAGCUUUGAUCCGGGGGUUUCCGAAUGGGGUAACCCGGCGUCAUGAAUAAUGACGUCGCAUUCAGGUGAAUAGAUAGCCUGUCUGUGGGCAGCUGGUGAACUGAAACAUCUAAGUAGCCAGACGAAAAGAAAGUAAUAACGAUUCCGUAAGUAGCGGCGAGCGAACGCGGAUCAGUCCAAACCUGUGUUGUGUGAUAGGCGGCAGCCGUUGCAGCAUGGGGGUUGUGGGACCAUACAUUGUGAUCUGCCGAUUACAGGUGAGUCAAAAAUCCAUAUUUUAUACGAACGCGCUGGGAGGCGUGGGCAUAGCGGGUGAGACCCCCUUAGUUUAAAAGAUAUGGACUUACUGUUAUGGCACCCAAGUACCGCGGGACACGAGGAACCCUGUGGGAAUCCGGGAGGACCAUCUUCCAAGACUAAAUACCUCUUGCCACCGAUAGCGCAUAAGUACCGUGAGGGAAAGGUGAAAAGCACCCCGGGAGGGGAGUGAAAUAGUUCCUGAAACCGCGUCGCCUACAAGCAGUCGGAGCUCAGUUUACAGCUUGCUGUAACGAGUGACGGCGUGCCUUUUGCAGAAUGAGCCUGCGAGUUAACGUAUGUUGCGAGCUUAAGUGUUUUAGACACGUAGGCGUAGCGAAAGCGAGUCUGAAUAAGGCGUAUUAGUAGCAUGUGUUAGACCCGAAACCGUGUGAUCUACCCAUGGCCAGGUUGAAGCGGGGGUAAUACCUCGUGGAGGACCGAACCGUUGUAUGUUGAAAAAUGCUCGGAUGAGCUGUGGGUAGGGGUGAAAUGCCAAUCGAACACGGAGAUAGCUGGUUCUCCUCGAAAUGCAUUUAGGUGCAGCGUGUGAUGUUCACCAACGGAGGUAGAGCACUGAAUAGUCGAUGGGCCCUCCAAGGUUACUGAGAUUAAUCAAACUCCGAAUGCCGUUGGUUCAAGUCAUGCAGUGAGACAGUGGGGGAUAAGCUUCAUUGUCGAAAGGGGAACAGCCCAGACCCACUGCUAAGGUCCCUAAGUGGCGGCUAAGUGUAAAAGGAUGUGGGACUACGUAAACAGCCAGGAUGUUGGCUUAGAAGCAGCCAUCAUUUAAAGAGUGCGUAACAGCUUACUGGCCGAAUGUAGUCCUGCGCCGAUAAUGUAAGGGGGCUCAAGCCGCCCACCGAAGCAUGGGAAGUCGCUUUUUAGCGGCUUGGUAGAGGAGCGUUGAUACUGGGGUGAAGCAUGAGCGUAAGCACAUGUGGACUUGUAUCAAGUGCGGAUGCAGGCAUAAGUAGCGAGAAGAUGGGUGAGAAUCCCAUCCACCGAAAACCUAAGGUUUCCGCGGCCAGGUUCGUCCGCCGCGGGUUAGUCGGGCCUAAGCCGAGGACGAUUGUCGUAGGCGAUGGACACACGGUUCAUAUUCCGUGACAGUGCAUGAAGGUUAUACGUCUGGGGACGGAUUGGAAGAGGUUUCCUAAGUUAUUGGCUUACUGAGCGGAUCCUUCGGGUGAAGUGCAGAAGUUUCUUCCGGUUCCAAGAAAAGCCAUGACGGUACGACAUGUACUCCCGUACCGCAAUCCGACACAGGUAGGUAGGUAGAGAAUACCAAGGUGUUCGAGAUAACUCACGCUAAGGAACUAGGCAAUCUAACCCCGUAACUUCGGGAGAAGGGGUGCUGGCGCAAGCCAGCCGCAGUGAAAUGGCCCGAGCGACUGUUUACCAAAAACACAGGUCUCUGCAAAAGCGAAAGCUGACGUAUAGGGGCUGACGCCUGCCCAAUGCCAGAAUGUUAACAGGAGAGGUCAGCGCAAGCGAAGCUUUGAAUCGAAGCACUGGUGAAUGGCGGCCGUAACUAUAACGGUCCUAAGGUAGCGAAAUUCCUUGUCGGG
This 1959-nucleotide ribosomal RNA is filed under the name marine metagenome. RNAcentral describes it as "bacterial LSU rRNA". It matches the Rfam family "Bacterial large subunit ribosomal RNA", at positions 1 to 1976 of the family's 2925-position model. The record is from RNAcentral.